GCCAGGCAAGGUGGCGCAUGCCUGUCAUCCCAGCAGCUCGGGAGGCUGAGGCAGGAGGAUGGUGAUUCAAAGCCAGCCUCAGCCAAAGCGAGGCCCUAAGCAACUCAGGGAGACCCUGUCUCUA
This 124-nucleotide small RNA is filed under the name Marmota monax (woodchuck). The record is from RNAcentral. Lineage: Eukaryota; Metazoa; Chordata; Mammalia; Rodentia; Sciuridae.